Molecule: ribosomal RNA, 253 nt
Filed under: uncultured bacterium
Lineage: Bacteria
Description: partial 16S ribosomal RNA
Rfam family: Bacterial small subunit ribosomal RNA
Source: RNAcentral
GACGAACCGAGCGAGCGUUAUCCGGAUUUACUGGGCGUAAAGCGCGUUCAGGCGGUUUGGCAAGUCGGGCAUGAAAUCUCUCGGCUCAACCGGGAGAGGUUGUCCGAUACUGCUGGACUUGAGGGCAGUAGAGGGUGGUGGAAUUCCGGGUGUAGUGGUGAAAUGCGUAGAUAUCCGGAGGAACACCAGUGGCGAAAGCGGCCACCUGGACUGCACCUGACGCUGACACGCGAAAGCUAGGGGAGCGAACGGG